Molecule: ribosomal RNA, 497 nt
Filed under: uncultured bacterium
Lineage: Bacteria
Description: partial 16S ribosomal RNA
Rfam family: Bacterial small subunit ribosomal RNA
Source: RNAcentral
GAUGAACGCUGGCGGCGUGCCUAAUACAUGCAAGUCGAGCGAACGGACGAGAAGCUUGCUUCACUGAUGUUAGCGGCGGACGGGUGAGUAACACGUGGAUAACCUACCUAUAAGACUGGGAUAACUUCGGGAAACCGGAGCUAAUACCGGAUGAUAUUUUGAACCGCAUGGUUCAAAAGUGAAAGACGGUCUUGCUGUCACUUAUAGAUGGAUCCGCGCUGCAUUAGCUAGUUGGUAAGGUAACGGCUUACCAAGGCAACGAUGCAUAGCCGACCUGAGAGGGUGAUCGGCCACACUGGAACUGAGACACGGUCCAGACUCCUACGGGAGGCAGCAGUAGGGAAUCUUCCGCAAUGGGCGAAAGCCUGACGGAGCAACGCCGCGUGAGUGAUGAAGGUCUUCGGAUCGUAAAACUCUGUUAUUAGGGAAGAACAUAUGUGUAAGUAACUGUGCACAUCUUGACGGUACCUAAUCAGAAAGCCACGGCUAACUACGUA